RNAcentral lists this ribosomal RNA (500 nucleotides) under uncultured Glomeromycotina. RNAcentral's name for it is "partial small subunit ribosomal RNA". It matches the Rfam family "Eukaryotic small subunit ribosomal RNA", at positions 591 to 1092 of the family's 1831-position model. The record is from RNAcentral. Lineage: Eukaryota; Fungi; Glomeromycota.
CCAAUAGCGUAUAUUAAAGUUGUUGCAGUUAAAAAGCUCGUAGUUGAAUUUCGGGGUCAGUAGGUCGGUCGUGCCACUGGUAUGAACUGGUUUUACUGAUUCCUCCCUCUUGAAGAACUGUAAUGCCAUUAAUUUGGUGUUGCAGGGAAUCAGGACUGUUACUUUGAAAAAAUUAGAGUGUUUAAAGCAGGCUUUAGCUUGAAUACAUUAGCAUGGAAUAAUGAAAUAGGACGUUUGAUCCUAUUUUGUUGGUUUCUAGGAUUGACGUAAUGAUUAAUAUGGAUAGUUGGGGGCAUUAGUAUUCAAUUGUCAGAGUUGAAAUUCUUGGAUUUAUUGAAGAAUAACUACUGCGAAAGCAUUUGCCAAGGAUGUUUUCAUUAAUCAAGAUCGAAAGGUAGGGGAUCGAAGACGAUCAGAUACCGUCGUAGUCUUAACCAUAAACUAUGCCGACUAGGGAUCGUAUGAUGUUAAUUUUUUAAUGACUCAUUCGGCGCCUUACG